RNAcentral lists this ribosomal RNA (370 nucleotides) under uncultured organism. RNAcentral's name for it is "partial 16S ribosomal RNA". It matches the Rfam family "Bacterial small subunit ribosomal RNA", at positions 527 to 896 of the family's 1533-position model. The record is from RNAcentral.
GUAGGGUGCAAGCGUUAAUCGGAAUUACUGGGCGUAAAGCGUGCGCAGGCGGGGUUUGUAAGUCUGACGUGAAAUCCCCGGGGCUUAACCUGGGAAUUGCGUUGGAGACUGCAAGGCUGGAGUCUGGCAGAGGGGGUAGAAUUCCACGUGUAGCAGUGAAAUGCGUAGAGAUGUGGAGGAACACCGAUGGCGAAGGCAGCCCCCUGGGUCAAGACUGACGCUCAUGCACGAAAGCGUGGGGAGCAAACAGGAUUAGAUACCCUGGUAGUCCACGCCCUAAACGAUGUCUACUAGUUGUCGGGUCUUAAUUGACUUGGUAACGCAGCUAACGCGUGAAGUAGACCGCCUGGGGAGUACGGUCGCAAGAUUA